Talpa occidentalis (Iberian mole) is the source of this 135-nucleotide small nucleolar RNA. RefSeq annotates it as small nucleolar RNA U109. The transcript has a single exon. NCBI's taxonomy places the organism in Eukaryota, Metazoa, Chordata, Mammalia, Eulipotyphla, Talpidae. The record is from RefSeq and is a predicted model, not a curated record.
AUGUGUGUGGAAAUAUCUCCUCUUCGUUUCUUUAGGAGCAAAAAUAUAUCCAAAAUGUGCUGCAUUUAAAAAGGAGUUCUCAGGGGUAUCAACCUUAUAAUAGAGGUUGAGUAACAGUAUAUUUCUUCUACAUAA